Molecule: ribosomal RNA, 543 nt
Filed under: uncultured eukaryote
Lineage: Eukaryota
Description: bacterial SSU rRNA
Rfam family: Eukaryotic small subunit ribosomal RNA
Source: RNAcentral
UAGUCAUAUGCUUAUCUCAAAGAUUAAGCCAUGCAUGUCUAAGUACACAGACUAGUAAUCUGAAACCGCGGAUGGCUCAUUAUAACAGCUAUGAUUUGAGAGACAUAAUCUUUUUGCUACAAGAUAACUGUGGUAAUUCUAGAGCUAAUAUUUCUAAGAAUGCCGUGACUCACGAAGCGGCGGAUUUAUUAGUUUCAAAACCAACCUGUUACCCGUUAAAUGGUGUGGCGGUUCUUUGAUGACUCUGGAUAACUUCACUGAUCGUACGACCUCAAGUGUUGACGACGAAUCUCUUGAAAUGGCUGACCUAUCAACUUUCGAUGGUAAGAUCAAAGCUUACCAUGGUUGUAACGGGUAACGGGGAAUCAGUGUUCGAUUCCGGAGAGGGAGCCUGAGAAACGGCUACCACAUCCACGGAAGGCAGCAGGCGCGCAAAUUACCCAAUACCGGCUCGGUGAGGUAGUGACAAAAAAUAACAAUAUGGGCCCUAGUGGUUUCAUAAUUGCAAUGAGAAAAUCGUAAAUACUUUAUCAAGUAUCAAUU